CUUCAAAAGAACGGAAAACUUACUUUUUAUGUCAUUUGACCAAUCCUGCGGCGUUUUCAAGGUCCAGUCACUAUUAGAAUGGGACUCUGUCUACUUUGAUCUCCGUUUGAGAAAUUCUUCUGUUUCCAGAAUACCUCAUAAAGCCUGUCGAAAUUA
This is a long non-coding RNA of Rhipicephalus microplus (southern cattle tick), 156 nucleotides long. The record is from RefSeq and is a predicted model, not a curated record. NCBI's taxonomy places the organism in Eukaryota, Metazoa, Arthropoda, Arachnida, Ixodida, Ixodidae.